RNAcentral lists this ribosomal RNA (269 nucleotides) under uncultured prokaryote. Its description in RNAcentral is "partial 16S ribosomal RNA". It matches the Rfam family "Bacterial small subunit ribosomal RNA", at positions 524 to 792 of the family's 1533-position model. The record is from RNAcentral.
UACGUAGGAGACGAGCGUUAUCCGGAUUUACUGGGCGUAAAGCGGGCGUAGGCGGUCCUUCAAGUCGGAUGUGAAAUAUCCCGGCUCAACCGGGAGGGGCCAUUCGAUACUGUUGGGCUAGAGGACAGCAGAGGGAAGUGGAAUUCCCGGUGUAGUGGUGAUAUGCGUAGAUAUCGGGAGGAACACCAGUGGCGAAGGCGGCUUCCUGGGCUGUUGCUGACGCUGAGGCCCUAAAGCGUGGGGAGCGAACAGGAUUAGAUACCCCCGUA